GAGACCAUCAGCCACAUAACCCUAGGGUGUGUCCUCACCAAGCAAGUUUGGGCAAUCAUCGCCGACCUGGGCAAGCUAGACUGGAUGCCGCAUCGAGAUGCAUGACUAGUGGACUGGUGGACCACGCUCAACCCUCCAAGGCAGUUCAGAAAGGAAAUCUAGACCAUGAUCAUCUUGGUGGCUUGGACGCUGCGGAAGCAUAGGAACGACAUCGUGUUCAACGGAGCUUGA
Molecule: ribosomal RNA, 231 nt
Filed under: Triticum aestivum (bread wheat)
Lineage: Eukaryota; Viridiplantae; Streptophyta; Magnoliopsida; Poales; Poaceae
Description: partial small subunit ribosomal RNA
Source: RNAcentral